Molecule: ribosomal RNA, 498 nt
Filed under: uncultured bacterium
Lineage: Bacteria
Description: partial 16S ribosomal RNA
Rfam family: Bacterial small subunit ribosomal RNA
Source: RNAcentral
GACGAACGCUGGCGGCGUGCCUAAUACAUGCAAGUCGAACGAGAGCACCCGGUGCUUGCACUGGUCAAUCUAGUGGCGAACGGGUGAGUAACACGUGGGUAACCUGCCCAUCAGAGGGGGAUAACAUCCGGAAACGGAUGCUAAAACCGCAUAGGUCUUCGAACCGCAUGGUUUGAAGAGGAAAAGAGGCGCAAGCUUCUGCUGAUGGAUGGACCCGCGGUGCAUUAGCUAGUUGGUGAGGUAACGGCUCACCAAGGCCGUGAUGCAUAGCCGACCUGAGAGGGUGAUCGGCCACAUUGGGACUGAGACACGGCCCAAACUCCUACGGGAGGCAGCAGUAGGGAAUCUUCCGCAAUGGACGCAAGUCUGACGGAGCAACGCCGCGUGAGUGAAGGAGGUUUUCGGAUCGUAAAACUCUGUUGUUAGAGAAGAACAAGUGCUAGAGUAACUGUUAGCGCCUUGACGGUAUCUAACCAGAAAGCCACGGCUAACUACGUG